CGCGGCGGUGGUGCUCGUUGCCGAGGCGACCCAGGGCCGCAGGCGCUGUGUCCCGCGCGCGCCCGGUGUGGACCGAGGCUUCCCGCUUGAAUCGGGAAGUCGCGGCGCGAUGCUCCGGGGGGUACCCCUGCCUUCGGGAGGCAGAGCUUUCGGCCCGUCGGACCGCGGCAUCCUCCAGGAGAUUCUUGAGCUCUCCCUGGAUACGCCGCCCCUCGGUGGUGGAUGGUUCCGGCAUUGCUCGGAGUAGUAUUACUGCUGCAGCCAGGUUCUGGCCGACCCCACUGGAAGCCGAGGGCAGCCUCGCCCUGGCAUCGUUGGCGAUGCGGUGCUGGACGUCCUGGGCCAGAUGACGCGCUUCUCCGGCCGGAGCUCGGCCUGCCCCCUCCUGCCCGAUAUUCUGCCGGAGCGGCACAAGUUGUCCUGCUUUCUCGUCGAG
This 436-nucleotide long non-coding RNA is filed under the name Zea mays. RNAcentral's name for it is "drought responsive lncRNA". The record is from RNAcentral. Lineage: Eukaryota; Viridiplantae; Streptophyta; Magnoliopsida; Poales; Poaceae.